GAUGAAGAACGCAGCGAAAUGCGAAAAGUAGUGUGAAUUGCAGAAUUCAGUGAAUCAUCGAAUCUUUGAACGCACAUUGCGCCCGCUAGUAUUCUGGCGGGCAUGCCUGUUCGAGCGUCAUUUCAACCAUCAAGCCCUAGGCUUGCGUUGGAGCCCUGCGGCUGCCGCAGACUCCCAAAUCCAGUGGCGGGCUCGUCGUCGUACCGAGUGCAGUAAACAUCCUCGCUCAGGGAACGUGACGGGUUCUUGCCGUGAAACCCCCCACAUAUCAAGGUUGACCUCGGAUCAGGUAGGAAUACCCGCUGAACUUAAGCAUAUCAAUAAGCGGAGGA
RNAcentral lists this unclassified non-coding RNA (332 nucleotides) under soil metagenome. RNAcentral describes it as "partial contains 5.8S ribosomal RNA, internal transcribed spacer 2, and large subunit ribosomal RNA". The stretch from base 1 to 120 matches the Rfam family "5.8S ribosomal RNA", at positions 35 to 154 of the family's 154-position model. The record is from RNAcentral.